Molecule: ribosomal RNA, 253 nt
Filed under: uncultured bacterium
Lineage: Bacteria
Description: partial 16S ribosomal RNA
Rfam family: Bacterial small subunit ribosomal RNA
Source: RNAcentral
UACGAAGGGGGCUAGCGUUGUUCGGAAUUACUGGGCGUAAAGCGCACGUAGGCGGGUUGUUAAGUCAGGGGUGAAAUCCUGGAGCUCAACUCCAGAACUGCCUUUGAUACUGGGAAGCUUGAGUCCGGGAGAGGUGAGUGGAACUCCGAGUGUAGAGGUGAAAUUCGUAGAUAUUCGGAAGAACACCAGUGGCGAAGGCGGCUCACUGGCCCGGUACUGACGCUGAGGUGCGAAAGCGUGGGGAGCAAACAGG